RNAcentral lists this ribosomal RNA (200 nucleotides) under uncultured organism. Its description in RNAcentral is "partial small subunit ribosomal RNA". It matches the Rfam family "Bacterial small subunit ribosomal RNA", at positions 1184 to 1382 of the family's 1533-position model. The record is from RNAcentral.
GUCAAGUCAUCAUGCCCCUUAUGUCCUGGGCUGCACACAUGCUACAAUGGCCGGUACAGAGGGCUGCGAUCCCGUGAGGGUGAGCGAAUCCCAAAAAGCCGGUCUCAGUUCGGAUUGGAGUCUGCAACUCGACUCCAUGAAGGCGGAGUCGCUAGUAAUCGCAGAUCAGCAACGCUGCGGUGAAUACGUUCCCGGGCCUU